Molecule: microRNA precursor, 65 nt
Filed under: Branchiostoma floridae (Florida lancelet)
Lineage: Eukaryota; Metazoa; Chordata; Leptocardii; Amphioxiformes; Branchiostomatidae
Description: Bfl-Mir-92-o8_pre stem-loop
Source: RNAcentral
AAAAAGCAAAAAGUUGCAAUAUCGGUAUACGACGUUACGUAGAUAUUGCACUAAUUUGCUUUUGA